RNAcentral lists this ribosomal RNA (198 nucleotides) under uncultured bacterium. RNAcentral describes it as "partial 16S ribosomal RNA". It matches the Rfam family "Bacterial small subunit ribosomal RNA", at positions 328 to 539 of the family's 1533-position model. The record is from RNAcentral.
ACGCUCGACACCUACGGGGGCAGCAGUGGGGGAAUAUUGCACAAUGGGGGAAACCCUGAUGCAGCGACGCCGCGUGAGUGAAGAAGUAUUUCGGUAUGUAAAGCUCUAUCAGCAGGGAAGAGAAUGACGGUACCUGACUAAGAAGCCCCGGCUAACUACGUGCCAGCAGCCGCGGUAAUCUGAGCGGGCUGGCAAGGC